Molecule: long non-coding RNA, 1348 nt
Organism: Daphnia magna
Lineage: Eukaryota; Metazoa; Arthropoda; Branchiopoda; Diplostraca; Daphniidae
Exons: 2
Source: RefSeq, a predicted model, not a curated record
UGUUGUGUGUAUAUAGUCUGUUUUUAUAUUUGACCGCAUCUGCCACGGACCAGUCGGGAUAUUUAGGAAGGAAAAAAAAAUGUACAUAGUGGACUGCAUUGGUUUUUCACCCGUGUGUGUGUGUGUGUCUUGACCAGUAGGUCCGCAUGUCUGCGUAAACAGCUUUCCGCUUUAGCUUUUUAAACACACAUAGACACAAGAAGAAGAGAAGGAAAGAAAAAAGGCCGCUCUUCUUCUUUUCAAACGGGGGGUGGAAUUUCUUUUUUGAAUUUCUUUUCGUAUUUACCACCCUCUUCUUCGUCUAACCCUCCACUGUAUACGUGAUAGUGUGUUACAUUGUAACCGCCUUUUUGUGUGUGUGUGUGUGCCGUGUUUGCGGCGGGCAGCAGACCGAAGAUAAGUCCAAUAAGGCGCGCUUUGCAACAGAAAGGGGGGAAGACAUGUCCGUGUGUUUUCAACGGCCCGUCACCUGCUGGAUGCUGUUUCGUUCCUUUUCUCUCCUAGAAAAAAAAAAAAACCUUUUUUUCUGUUUUCUAGGCGUCGGCGGCACGCGUCCAACUCUCUCGGCGCCGCGUCUUGUAUAUGUCCGGUCCGCUUUCUCCAUCCGUCCACUCCGCAUGUUUUUGCUCCGAUCGGAACAGUUGUGUGAAGGACGAAUAAGGCCGACUGGUGUUAUCAUCGUCUCUCCGUGAUGUGUAUGUUUACCUCACGAGAAAAAAAUGUAAAGAAAAAAAAAAAAGGGAAGAACCGCAACGGCGGCGGCGGUCGCUGUGUGGCGGCGCGUGUUUGUGUGUUUCUAAGCCGAGUUUAAUUGAAAAAGCUGGGCCACAAGAUUAUCGACGUUAUCCGAGAUGGACCUACCUACUACCCCAGGUGCACUGGAGACAAUCACAGGUAUAAAUGGCGGGUGUGGAGGUGGUCGUCUCUUGUCGGCUGUAUAGGUGUCUCCUGUGUGUGUGUGUGUGUGCUGACCCGUGUGACAACAACAACAACAACAACUGUCUCUAUAGUAUAAAAGCCUCUUUAGUCGUGACGUUUUCCCCUCCUUCGAUUCGAUCAAUGGCGGGAUAUCGUGCGGAAGGAUGCCGAAUUGUUUUUUUUGCCAACCAAUCGAACAGUUGGGACAACAUGUCGCCAAACGGCAACACUUGCGAUUCGAAAGAACUGCUUUUGUCGACAGUGUAGGCUACUCAAUCUUGACACAAUUGCAAAAUAGCGAUUGAUUUCCAUCCCAUGUUGCAUGUCAUUUUGUUUUUCCCUGAUUGGUGUGUUGUCGCCUUGCUUACCUUAUUCCUCGUUCAUUUCGCACGACAAAAGAAGAAGUAGACCUAGUACAAUAAUAACAAAU